RNAcentral lists this transfer RNA (75 nucleotides) under Verrucomicrobiaceae bacterium. RNAcentral describes it as "tRNA-Thr". It matches the Rfam family "tRNA". From Rfam's summary of the family: Transfer RNA (tRNA) molecules are approximately 80 nucleotides in length. Their secondary structure includes four short double-helical elements and three loops (D, anti-codon, and T loops). Further hydrogen bonds mediate the characteristic L-shaped molecular structure. tRNAs have two regions of fundamental functional importance: the anti-codon, which is responsible for specific mRNA codon recognition, and the 3' end, to which the tRNAs corresponding amino acid is attached (by aminoacyl-tRNA synthetases). tRNAs cope with the degeneracy of the genetic code in two manners: having more than one tRNA (with a specific anti-codon) for a particular amino acid; and 'wobble' base-pairing, i.e. permitting non-standard base-pairing at the 3rd anti-codon position. Lineage: Bacteria; Pseudomonadati; Verrucomicrobiota; Verrucomicrobiia; Verrucomicrobiales; Verrucomicrobiaceae. The record is from RNAcentral.
UCCUUCGUAGCUCAAUCAGGAGAGCACCCGCCUUGUAACCGGGAGACCGCGGCGCGAAACCGCGCGGAGGAUCCA